RNAcentral lists this ribosomal RNA (505 nucleotides) under uncultured bacterium. Its description in RNAcentral is "partial 16S ribosomal RNA". It matches the Rfam family "Bacterial small subunit ribosomal RNA", at positions 28 to 507 of the family's 1533-position model. The record is from RNAcentral.
GACGAACGCUGGCGGCGUGCCUAAUACAUGCAAGUAGAACGCACAGUUUAUACCGUAGCUUGCUACACCAUAGACUGUGAGUUGCGAACGGGUGAGUAACGCGUAGGUAACCUGCCUGGUAGCGGGGGAUAACUAUUGGAAACGAUAGCUAAUACCGCAUAAUAUUAAUUAUUGCAUGAUAAUUAAUUGAAAGGUGCAAUUGCACCACUACCAGAUGGACCUGCGUUGUAUUAGCUAGUAGGUGAGGUAACGGCUCACCUAGGCGACGAUACAUAGCCGACCUGAGAGGGUGAUCGGCCACACUGGGAAUGGGACACGGCCCAGACUCCUACGGGAGGCAGCAGUAGGGAAUCUUCGGCAAUGGACGAAAGUCUGACCGAGCAACGCCGCGUGAGUGAAGAAGGUUUUCGGAUCGUAAAGCUCUGUUGUAAGAGAAGAACGGGUGUGAGAGUGGAAAGUUCACACUGUGACGGUAUCUUACCAGAAAGGGACGGCUAACUACGUG